AUAAUCCUUGUUCAUACAAACGAAUUACAGAAUAGUGACAACCGAAAUAACACUUGUUCAUAACACUUAUUCAUACAAACGAAUUAACACUUGUUCAUAAGAACCAAAAUAAGAGAGAGUACAAAACAACCGAGAUAACAGAAAUUACAUAAGCGAAGAACACUUGUUCAUAUCAUUGUUGUUUCAAGGACCACAACCCAUCAGCGACCCAAGCUCUGAAUUGAUUCAUAGCAGCACUGUCCAUCUCAUUUGUUGAAUCAUUUCUUGUAGUCGUUGGCAUAGCCCAACUCCGGAAGACGUCGACGUUGCUGUUGAGAUCCAAGAAACCCAUUUCCCUCCCGAGAUUUUCG
Molecule: long non-coding RNA, 350 nt
Filed under: Hordeum vulgare
Lineage: Eukaryota; Viridiplantae; Streptophyta; Magnoliopsida; Poales; Poaceae
Description: long non-coding RNA (HVUL_LNC005385)
Source: RNAcentral